Molecule: long non-coding RNA, 1578 nt
Organism: Equus caballus (horse)
Lineage: Eukaryota; Metazoa; Chordata; Mammalia; Perissodactyla; Equidae
Source: Ensembl
AGGUAUGAGUUCCUGGAGGGCAAAGCCUGGGCUCCUUGGUUGUCCUCACAGACUGGAGCUAAGCUGGAAUCACAAUGAGAAGAAGGGAUUAUCCCCUUGCACAAGCCUCAGCAAAGGGUGGUCUUGUUGGAGGAGUUAAUAGCAGAUGAGAAAACUUAGACCUCAAUAGACGUGAUUUGAGAUGGAGGUGGGCCUAGGAGUCUUGGGCUGCUCAUUUCCAGCCCAGAGCACUUGCCACUGCCCCACACAACUGAGCUCAAUCAAUUCCUGGAGGGCCUGGUUCCUAAUGCAGAGGCCAGCCAAGAGCCAGAGCUGGAGCCAGGCCUCUGGUCGUAAACUAAACAACAGAACCAGUUAUUGGUUUCAAGUCUGACUGCCUCCUCUUGUAAGGACUUUGGAACUUGGAGAAGCUCCCUUACCCUUUAUAAGCCAGCAGAAAGAAGUAUGAUUGUCAAGACCCCAGACAGAAUGGCAGGUAAAAGAAACAGCUGCUGCUAUCCAGAGUAAAUCAGUCACAAAGAAACCUGCUCCUCAUUCUGUCUCCUGGUUUCCCAUAAAUGCCUGAAGCCCAGCCUUGUAGUUGAGGAAAGACCAUGUGAGGACACAGAGGGAAGCUGGUCAUCUACAAGCCAGAAAGGGUGGUCUCAGAAGAAACAAACCCUAGCACCUUGAUCUUGGACUUCUAGUCUCCAGAACUGGUCAACUUAAUGGAUGUGUGACCCAUGCCGUCACAUAGAGCCCCAUGCUCAGAAGGACCCUGUGCUUGGUUUAAUGCUCUACUGUCACUUUUUUGAAGUUGUUGGUCAUUUCAUCUCUGAACUUGUGUUUUGAAGGUUUUGUACCAAACCUAUGCAGUGGAAAGUCUGAAUGUGAUAGAAGGUGGCAAUAAUACUGCCCUAGGUCAUCAACCAGCCUCUUGGGACCAUUCUCCUCCCAUGCCUGGAAAAGAGUUCCCUCUUUCCCCACCCUUCUGACUUUCCAAAGCUCUUGGACUCCUAUCGCACACCUUCAUGGGAGGUAGGUCCACCCUGCCUCACUAGGCUCAGCCUUGUAUGCCCAGCUGAGAGGCCCAUAAAGGAAUGGGAUAAUGAACAGAGCACCUCAUGAUGGUUGAAGAUGCAGCCCCGCAAGAGGCCUUUAAAACUUCCCAUCUAUAUGGAGCCUUUUGUUUCCCACAUCCACUGGAAGGGUGGAGUGGGGAAUGGGGUGGGGAGGAUGGCUUUGUGAAAUACAACAUCUUGAGGCAGUGAGCCAUGAACAACUCCAUACCAGUAGAAGAGUAGCCUGGCCUUUCAAGAACCUGGGCUGUCCAUCUACUUGCCACUGGCCAGCACACAUUGAUGGCAUUAUAAAUCAGGCUAGCCCCACUACCUCCAGAGCCCACUGCCCAACCCCACUUUAAACUUUCACAAGUUCUACUCGUCACUUCUCAAUGAAUCAGGCAGAAUUUUUCCAGUUGGUCUUGGUAUUGGUUUCCCUGAAUGACCCUUAAAAAGUUCAGAUUUGAGUCCAUGGAUCUGUCUGAGCAUGAGUCGGGCCUCACACAUCAUUGAAUACUCAUCUACUCAGAAGGUUGGG